This 251-nucleotide long non-coding RNA is filed under the name Panax ginseng (ginseng). Its description in RNAcentral is "long non-coding RNA (PGIN_LNC011652)". The record is from RNAcentral. Lineage: Eukaryota; Viridiplantae; Streptophyta; Magnoliopsida; Apiales; Araliaceae.
UACAAAUAUCAAUAUUAUAACUUAGUAUUAGAUGCUUAAACAUUACAUUUAUACUAAAAUAUUUAUUUAUAAAACAAACAAACAUGUUGAUUCAACUUGUACAAAGCCUAAAAUGGGCAUCCCAAAUUGAGGUAAGACAAACUUAUGGCCAUCCUUAAUUACCACCACUUGUUGAGUGCAUAUAAUUUGGUCUAUCAACCGAGUCCUUUGUAUGUCAAUUAAUCCUUGCUAGCUAACAGCCACAGCCCCCC